RNAcentral lists this ribosomal RNA (497 nucleotides) under uncultured bacterium. Its description in RNAcentral is "partial 16S ribosomal RNA". It matches the Rfam family "Bacterial small subunit ribosomal RNA", at positions 28 to 507 of the family's 1533-position model. The record is from RNAcentral.
GAUGAACGCUGGCGGCGUGCCUAAUACAUGCAAGUCGAGCGAACGGACGAGAAGCUUGCUUCUCUGAUGUUAGCGGCGGACGGGUGAGUAACACGUGGAUAACCUACCUAUAGGACUGGGAUAACUUCGGGAAACCGGAGCUAAUACCGGAUGAUAUUUUGAACCGCAUGGUUCAAAAGUGAAAGACGGUCUUGCUGUCACUUAUAGAUGGAUCCGCGCUGCAUUAGCUAGUUGGUAAGGUAACGGCUUACCAAGGCAACGAUGCAUAGCCGACCUGAGAGGGUGAUCGGCCACACUGGAACUGAGACACGGUCCAGACUCCUACGGGAGGCAGCAGUAGGGAAUCUUCCGCAAUGGGCGAAAGCCUGACGGAGCAACGCCGCGUGAGUGAUGAAGGUCUUCGGAUCGUAAAACUCUGUUAUUAGGGAAGAACAUAUGUGUAAGUAACUGUGCACAUCUUGACGGUACCUAAUCAGAAAGCCACGGCUAACUACGUG